This 75-nucleotide transfer RNA is filed under the name Hadesarchaea archaeon. Its description in RNAcentral is "tRNA-Gln". The record is from RNAcentral. Lineage: Archaea; Methanobacteriati; Hadarchaeota (SeqCode); Hadarchaeia (SeqCode).
ACCCUUAUGGGGCCCAACGGUCAAGCCUAACGGGCUCUGGACCCGUUGACCCCGGUUCGAAUCCGGGCGGGGCUA